AGAGUUUGAUCCUGGCUCAGGAUGAUUGCUGGCGGCGUGCCUAACACAUGCAAGUCGAGCGAUUCUCUUCGGAGAAGAGCGGCGGACGGGUGAGUAACGCGUGGGUAACCUGCCCUGUACACACGGAUAACAUACCGAAAGGUAUGCUAAUACGAGAUAAUAUGCUUUUAUCGCAUGGUAGAAGUAUCAAAGCUUUUGCGGUACAGGAUGGACCCGCGUCUGAUUAGCUAGUUGGUAAGGUAACGGCUUACCAAGGCGACGAUCAGUAGCCGACCUGAGAGGGUGAUCGGCCACAUUGGAACUGAGACACGGUCCAAACUCCUACGGGAGGCAGCAGUGGGGAAUAUUGCACAAUGGGCGAAAGCCUGAUGCAGCAACGCCGCGUGAGCGAUGAAGGCCUUCGGGUCGUAAAGCUCUGUCCUCAAGGAAGAUAAUGACGGUACUUGAGGAGGAAGCCCCGGCUAACUACGUGCCAGCAGCCGCGGUAAUACGUAGGGGGCUAGCGUUAUCCGGAAUUACUGGGUGUAAAGGGAGCGCAGGCGGGAAGACAAGUUGGAAGUGAAAUCUAUGGGCUCAACCCAUAAACUGCUUUCAAAACUGUUUUUCUUGAGUAGUGCAGAGGUAGGCGGAAUUCCCGGUGUAGCGGUGGAAUGCGUAGAUAUCGGGAGGAACACCAGUGGCGAAGGCGGCCUACUGGGCACCAACUGACGCUGAGGCUCGAAAGUGUGGGUAGCAAACAGGAUUAGAUACCCUGGUAGUCCACACCGUAAACGAUGAUUACUAGGGGGUUGGAGGAU
Molecule: ribosomal RNA, 797 nt
Filed under: uncultured bacterium
Lineage: Bacteria
Description: bacterial SSU rRNA
Rfam family: Bacterial small subunit ribosomal RNA
Source: RNAcentral